GGGCUCGUAGUUCAGUUGGUAGAACGCCGCAUUCGCAUUGCGGAAAUCAGGGGUUCGAUUCCCCUCGAGUCCACCA
This 76-nucleotide transfer RNA is filed under the name Candidatus Roizmanbacteria bacterium CG_4_10_14_0_8_um_filter_36_36. Its description in RNAcentral is "tRNA-Ala". It matches the Rfam family "tRNA". From Rfam's summary of the family: Transfer RNA (tRNA) molecules are approximately 80 nucleotides in length. Their secondary structure includes four short double-helical elements and three loops (D, anti-codon, and T loops). Lineage: Bacteria; Candidatus Roizmaniibacteriota. RNAcentral also lists the same sequence under 3 other names. The record is from RNAcentral.